RNAcentral lists this ribosomal RNA (253 nucleotides) under uncultured bacterium. Its description in RNAcentral is "partial 16S ribosomal RNA". It matches the Rfam family "Bacterial small subunit ribosomal RNA", at positions 524 to 776 of the family's 1533-position model. The record is from RNAcentral.
UACGUAGGUGGCAAGCGUUGUCCGGAAUUAUUGGGCGUAAAGCGCGCGCAGGCGGUCCUUUAAGUCUGAUGUGAAAGCCCACGGCUCAACCGUGGAGGGUCAUUGGAAACUGGGGGACUUGAGUGCAGGAGAGAAGAGUGGAAUUCCACGUGUAGCGGUGAAAUGCGUAGAGAUGUGGAGGAACACCAGUGGCGAAGGCGACUCACUGGACAGAUAUUGACGCUGAGGUGCGAAAGCGUGGGGAGCAAACAGG